CGGGUGAGUAACGCGUGAGGAACCUGCCUCAAAGAGGGGGACAACAGUUGGAAACGACUGCUAAUACCGCAUAAGCCCACGGGUCGGCAUCGACCAGAGGGAAAAGGAGCAAUCCGCUUUGAGAUGGCUCGCGUCCGAUUAGCUAGUUGGUGAGGUAAUGGCCCACCAAGGCGACGAUCGGUAGCCGGACUGAGAGGUUGAACGGCCACAUUGGGACUGAGACACGGCCCAGACUCCUACGGGAGGCAGCAUG
Molecule: ribosomal RNA, 253 nt
Filed under: uncultured bacterium
Lineage: Bacteria
Description: partial 16S ribosomal RNA
Rfam family: Bacterial small subunit ribosomal RNA
Source: RNAcentral